This 254-nucleotide ribosomal RNA is filed under the name uncultured bacterium. Its description in RNAcentral is "partial 16S ribosomal RNA". It matches the Rfam family "Bacterial small subunit ribosomal RNA", at positions 524 to 776 of the family's 1533-position model. The record is from RNAcentral.
UACAGAGGGUGCAAGCGUUGUUCGGAAUUACUGGGCGUAAAGGGCGCGUAGGCGGCCAGCACAAGUCAGUUGUGAAAUCUCCGAGCUUAACUCGGAAAGGUCAACUGAUACUGUGCGGCUAGAGUGCGGAAGGGGCAACUGGAAUUCUUGGUGUAGCGGUGAAAUGCGUAGAUAUCAAGAGGAACACCUGCGGCGAAGGCGGGUUGCUGGGCCGACACUGACGCUGAGGCGCGAAAGCCAGGGGAGCGAACGGG